This is a non-coding RNA of Coffea arabica (coffee), 685 nucleotides long. The record is from RefSeq and is a predicted model, not a curated record. Lineage: Eukaryota; Viridiplantae; Streptophyta; Magnoliopsida; Gentianales; Rubiaceae.
CUUGGUAAACAUCUUCUUAUUCCCUGCACUUUCUUUGAUCACAGAUUCAAUCCCAAACCUUUUCUCCAACUUCACUCGUCACCGUUUCUCAUUUCAGUACACCAUUCUUCAUUACCACCAAUCCACCCAAGGAGCAGAAGAGAUAGAGAAGCUUCAUCAUCAACCUCUGGACUGAAAGAAGAGAUAUAGACUCUACAAUUCACCAAAGAGAUAGCCCAAAAUUAUUUGAAGCAAACUUGUUUUGUCUGCUACAGCUGUAGAUUAAUCACAUCAAAGGACAACUUAUUUCUCCCUGGUUAAUUCAUCCGUUCCCACCAUCAAAGGGGUGCAGUGCAGUGAUUAGCCACACAUUUGCUUCCUGGUCCACGUAUUGCUCAGUUUCCAUUCUCUUCUUUCAGACUACAUUCUAAUUUUCUGAAUAUUCUGUGGUACAACAACGAACCUUGAGCACACAGUCUCCACCAAAAAGGAGUCGACAGGUAGUAAAGCUUCAACAAUUACUGGACUGGACUGACUACUAAGCCCGAUAUCAUUUGACCACUCUAUCCCAAACCUUUUCUCCAACUUCGCUCGUCACCAUUCUUCAUUACCACCAAUUCAACAAAGGUGCAGAAGAGAUAGAGAAGCUUUCAUCAACUUCUGGUUUGACUUGUGAGACCGAAAUCAUUCGAAGCAAACUUGUCUU